RNAcentral lists this ribosomal RNA (1966 nucleotides) under Salmonella enterica subsp. enterica serovar Enteritidis. RNAcentral describes it as "partial 23S ribosomal RNA". It matches the Rfam family "Bacterial large subunit ribosomal RNA", at positions 855 to 2802 of the family's 2925-position model. The record is from RNAcentral. Lineage: Bacteria; Pseudomonadati; Pseudomonadota; Gammaproteobacteria; Enterobacterales; Enterobacteriaceae.
CUCCCCGAAAGCUAUUUAGGUAGCGCCUCGUGAAUUCAUCUCCGGGGGUAGAGCACUGUUUCGGCUAGGGGGCCAUCCCGGCUUACCAACCCGAUGCAAACUGCGAAUACCGGAGAAUGUUAUCACGGGAGACACACGGCGGGUGCUAACGUCCGUCGUGAAGAGGGAAACAACCCAGACCGCCAGCUAAGGUCCCAAAGUCAUGGUUAAGUGGGAAACGAUGUGGGAAGGCCCAGACAGCCAGGAUGUUGGCUUAGAAGCAGCCAUCAUUUAAAGAAAGCGUAAUAGCUCACUGGUCGAGUCGGCCUGCGCGGAAGAUGUAACGGGGCUAAACCAUGCACCGAAGCUGCGGCAGCGACACUGUGUGUUGUUGGGUAGGGGAGCGUUCUGUAAGCCUGUGAAGGUGUGUCGUGAGGCAUGCUGGAGGUAUCAGAAGUGCGAAUGCUGACAUAAGUAACGAUAAAGCGGGUGAAAAGCCCGCUCGCCGGAAGACCAAGGGUUCCUGUCCAACGUUAAUCGGGGCAGGGUGAGUCGACCCCUAAGGCGAGGCCGAAAGGCGUAGUCGAUGGGAAACGGGUUAAUAUUCCCGUACUUGGUGUUACUGCGAAGGGGGGACGGAGAAGGCUAUGUUGGCCGGGCGACGGUUGUCCCGGUUUAAGCGUGUAGGUGUGUGUUCCAGGUAAAUCCGGUUCACUUUAACACUGAGGCGUGACGACGAGGCACUACGGUGCUGAAGCAACAAAUGCCCUGCUUCCAGGAAAAGCCUCUAAGCAUCAGGUAACAUCAAAUCGUACCCCAAACCGACACAGGUGGUCAGGUAGAGAAUACCAAGGCGCUUGAGAGAACUCGGGUGAAGGAACUAGGCAAAAUGGUGCCGUAACUUCGGGAGAAGGCACGCUGACACGUAGGUGAAGUGAUUUACUCAUGGAGCUGAAGUCAGUCGAAGAUACCAGCUGGCUGCAACUGUUUAUUAAAAACACAGCACUGUGCAAACACGAAAGUGGACGUAUACGGUGUGACGCCUGCCCGGUGCCGGAAGGUUAAUUGAUGGGGUCAGCGCAAGCGAAGCUCCUGAUCGAAGCCCCGGUAAACGGCGGCCGUAACUAUAACGGUCCUAAGGUAGCGAAAUUCCUUGUCGGGUAAGUUCCGACCUGCACGAAUGGCGUAAUGAUGGCCAGGCUGUCUCCACCCGAGACUCAGUGAAAUUGAACUCGCUGUGAAGAUGCAGUGUACCCGCGGCAAGACGGAAAGACCCCGUGAACCUUUACUAUAGCUUGACACUGAACAUUGAGCCUUGAUGUGUAGGAUAGGUGGGAGGCUUUGAAGUGUGGACGCCAGUCUGCAUGGAGCCGACCUUGAAAUACCACCCUUUAAUGUUUGAUGUUCUAACGUGGACCCGUUACCCGGGUUGCGGACAGUGUCUGGUGGGUAGUUUGACUGGGGCGGUCUCCUCCUAAAGAGUAACGGAGGAGCACGAAGGUUGGCUAAUCCUGGUCGGACAUCAGGAGGUUAGUGCAAUGGCAUAAGCCAGCUUGACUGCGAGCGUGACGGCGCGAGCAGGUGCGAAAGCAGGUCAUAGUGAUCCGGUGGUUCUGAAUGGAAGGGCCAUCGCUCAACGGAUAAAAGGUACUCCGGGGAUAACAGGCUGAUACCGCCCAAGAGUUCAUAUCGACGGCGGUGUUUGGCACCUCGAUGUCGGCUCAUCACAUCCUGGGGCUGAAGUAGGUCCCAAGGGUAUGGCUGUUCGCCAUUUAAAGUGGUACGCGAGCUGGGUUUAGAACGUCGUGAGACAGUUCGGUCCCUAUCUGCCGUGGGCGCUGGAGAACUGAGGGGGGCUGCUCCUAGUACGAGAGGACCGGAGUGGACGCAUCACUGGUGUUCGGGUUGUCAUGCCAAUGGCACUGCCCGGUAGCUAAAUGCGGAAGAGAUAAGUGCUGAAAGCAUCUAAGCACGAAACUUGCCCCGA